RNAcentral lists this ribosomal RNA (80 nucleotides) under Escherichia coli. The record is from RNAcentral. Lineage: Bacteria; Pseudomonadati; Pseudomonadota; Gammaproteobacteria; Enterobacterales; Enterobacteriaceae.
UCUGGCGGCAGUAGCGCGGUGGUCCCACCGGACCCCAUGCCGAACUCAGAAGUGAAACGCCGUAGCUCCGAUGGUAGUGA